ACGUAGGGUGCGAGCGUUAAUUGGAAUCACUGGGCGUAAAGCGUGCGCAGGCGGUUUCACAAGCUAGAUGUGAAAGCCCCGGGCUUAACCUGGGAAUUGCAUUUAGGACUGUGGAGCUCGAGUGCGGCAGAGGGAGGUGGAAUUCCACGUGUAGCAGUGAAAUGCGUAGAGAUGUGGAGGAACACCGAUGGCGAAGGCAGCCUCCUGGGCCGACACUGACGCUCAUGCACGAAAGCGUGGGGAGCAAACAG
Molecule: ribosomal RNA, 251 nt
Filed under: uncultured prokaryote
Description: partial 16S ribosomal RNA
Rfam family: Bacterial small subunit ribosomal RNA
Source: RNAcentral